RNAcentral lists this ribosomal RNA (120 nucleotides) under Microcebus murinus (gray mouse lemur). The record is from RNAcentral. Lineage: Eukaryota; Metazoa; Chordata; Mammalia; Primates; Cheirogaleidae.
GUCUACGGCCAUACCACAUUGAAUGUGCCCAAUCUUGUCUGAUCUCAGAAGCUGAGUAGUGUUGGGUCUGGUUAGUAUUUGGAUGGGAGACUGGUAUUUAGUUUAUUAGAAAUUUAAACU